CACACCUGCAGCCAGGUCACUCUUUCAUUUUGUUUAUUUCGUCGCCUCAGCGCAAAAGCUCCACAGGAAAUGAAUGGAGAGCAAGUGAUGUCUCUCUGCCUGUGUAAAGUCUUAGAAGUGAGCGUCUCCCGCUCACCAACAGCGCACUCAGAAACAGCGCACUCAGAAACAGCGCACAGACCGGGGCAUUGAGGACACUCUGCGGACUCCACGUUUGCGCUUUCCUGUUCAUUUUUGAUAAAUAUAUUAAGAACAAGUGCUCAGAGUUACUGAAGAGCUGCCUUGUGAACAAAGGCCCAGUGCACUAGAGGUGUUUGCGGAGUUCAGUAGAAUAGUUACCAACAACCUACAGGAAAUGUGGGACAGACCCUGUCAGAGUUGAUCCAACAAAUAUAUGCAGUGAAACCAGAUGUGACAGCGAUGUGGACCAUUGUACUCCGAGGUCUCCCUGUUCUACUUGGUGAUGACUCCAGUGACUUCUACUUGACCUGCUUUGAUUGUGACGCUGAUGAGUCCCAGGCACAAGUGUCUGUCGGGGAGCUGACUGUUGUCCGUGAAGAUGUGCAACUCACUCCAAAUCAGCUCCACCUUCACCCAGUGUCUAGUGCCAUCAUUGUUGAGGGAGAUAUUGUGCUGAAUGAUCUGCUUUAUAUAGAGACAUAAUAUGUAAUACGUAUAUAUUUUUUAUUUACUGAAUUUAUGUAACAUUACUCAGGGAUACAAAAGUGCACUUUU
This is a long non-coding RNA of Archocentrus centrarchus (flier cichlid), 735 nucleotides long. RefSeq lists it as uncharacterized. The record is from RefSeq and is a predicted model, not a curated record. Lineage: Eukaryota; Metazoa; Chordata; Actinopteri; Cichliformes; Cichlidae. The transcript has 5 exons.